RNAcentral lists this ribosomal RNA (345 nucleotides) under uncultured bacterium. Its description in RNAcentral is "bacterial SSU rRNA". It matches the Rfam family "Bacterial small subunit ribosomal RNA", at positions 1 to 334 of the family's 1533-position model. The record is from RNAcentral.
UCAGACACGUCAGAGUUUGAUCCUGGCUCAGGAUGAACGCUAGCUACAGGCUUAACACAUGCAAGUCGAGGGGCAGCAUGGGCUUAGCUUGCUAAGCCCGAUGGCGACCGGCGCACGGGUGAGUAACACGUAUCCAACCUUCCGGUAACUCGGGGAUAGGCUUUCGAAAGAAAGAUUAAUACCCGAUGUUGCGUAUCUUUCUCCUGAAAGAUACGCCAAAGGAUUCCGGUAACCGAUGGGGAUGCGUUCCAUUAGGCAGUUGGCGGGGUAACGGCCCACCAAACCAUCGAUGGAUAGGGGUUCUGAGAGGAAGGUCCCCCACAUUGGAACUGAGACACGGUCCAA